This 97-nucleotide ribosomal RNA is filed under the name Glaesserella parasuis. RNAcentral describes it as "partial 16S ribosomal RNA". It matches the Rfam family "Bacterial small subunit ribosomal RNA", at positions 1436 to 1533 of the family's 1533-position model. The record is from RNAcentral. Lineage: Bacteria; Pseudomonadati; Pseudomonadota; Gammaproteobacteria; Pasteurellales; Pasteurellaceae.
UAACUGAAAGGGGGCGUUUACCACGGUAUGAUUCAUGACUGGGGUGAAGUCGUAACAAGGUAACCGUAGGGGAACCUGCGGUUGGAUCACCUCCUUA